CCAAUGAGGAUAUCCUGGGAGGUCUCUCCCCAGGCUGUAUCCAAAUGGCGUAGGGGAGCAUAGGACUCUGCCCCAUGAUGUACAGUACCUUUCCACGAUGUUGGAAAUGAAGCUGGCUGUCAGGCCUGCACUUGUGUAUUACUACAACUUCUCAGAGGCCUGUGGACAAUGACUGGGGAGACAAACCACGCAGGAAAUGUGU
Molecule: small nucleolar RNA, 202 nt
Filed under: Carlito syrichta (Philippine tarsier)
Lineage: Eukaryota; Metazoa; Chordata; Mammalia; Primates; Tarsiidae
Description: Small nucleolar RNA SNORA73 family (ENSTSYG00000022097.2)
Rfam family: Small nucleolar RNA SNORA73 family
About the family: U17 (SNORA73A and SNORA73B) also known as E1 belongs to the H/ACA class of small nucleolar RNAs (snoRNAs). Vertebrate U17 is intron-encoded and ranges in length from 200-230 nucleotides, longer than most snoRNAs.
Source: Rfam by way of RNAcentral